Molecule: transfer RNA, 71 nt
Filed under: Bos taurus (domestic cattle)
Lineage: Eukaryota; Metazoa; Chordata; Mammalia; Artiodactyla; Bovidae
Also listed under: 4 other names
Rfam family: tRNA
About the family: Transfer RNA (tRNA) molecules are approximately 80 nucleotides in length.
Source: Rfam by way of RNAcentral
UCCCAGCUGGUUCAGUGGUAAAGAAUCUGCCUGCAAUGCAGAAGACCUGGGUUCGAUCUCUGGGUUGGAAA